AUUUUGAACCUGUUUGAUAAUAAGUUCAAUGGGCCAAUCCCAGAAUUCUAUGGGCAGUGUUAUUCACUAUCAUAUGUGCGUAUCUAUAACAAUCAAUUCUCUGGUGAAUUACCAACUGGUUUCUGGGGAUUUGAUGGAUACACAUUUCUUGAACUGCGAAACAACAACUUUCAAGGUUCAAUUCCAGCUUCAAUCUCCAAUGCUCGAGGCCUGACACAAAUUCUCAUCUCUGGCAACAACUUCUCCGGAGAAUUGCCAGCAGAAAUAUGCAAUUUGGAAGAGGUUGUGUUCAUGGACAUUAGCAAGAAUCAAUUAUCAGGGCAGUUGCCUUCGUGUAUCACAAGAUUGAAAAAGUUACAAAAGCUUGAUCUUUCAAAAAAUAGGAUCAGGGGUCAAAUUCCCAAAUCAGUUAGUUCUUGGAAUGAAUUGACUGAGUUGAGUUUAGCUGACAAUCAACUGACCGGUGAAAUUCCUGGUGAGCUUGGGAUGUUACCGGUCUUAACAUACUUAGACCUCGCCUCAAACUUGCUUUCUGGUGAAAUUCCAUCCGAGCUGAGCAAGCUCAAGCUCAACAAAUUCAAUGUAUCGAAUAACAGGCUGGAAGGGAAAG
RNAcentral lists this unclassified non-coding RNA (610 nucleotides) under Hevea brasiliensis (rubber tree). The record is from RNAcentral. Lineage: Eukaryota; Viridiplantae; Streptophyta; Magnoliopsida; Malpighiales; Euphorbiaceae.